This 433-nucleotide ribosomal RNA is filed under the name uncultured bacterium. Its description in RNAcentral is "partial 16S ribosomal RNA". It matches the Rfam family "Bacterial small subunit ribosomal RNA", at positions 29 to 507 of the family's 1533-position model. The record is from RNAcentral.
AGCGAACGCUGGCGGCAGGCUUAACACAUGCAAGUCGAGCGGGCCCUUCGGGGUCAGCGGCGGACGGGUGAGUAACGCGUGGGAACGUGCCUUCUGGUCUGGAAUAACCCUGGGAAACUAGGGCUAAUACCGGAUACGCCCUUUUGGGGAAAGGUUUACUGCCGGAAGAUCGGCCCGCGUCUGAUUAGCUAGUUGGUGGGGUAACGGCCUACCAAGGCGACGAUCAGUAGCUGGUCUGAGAGGAUGAUCAGCCACACUGGGACUGAGACACGGCCCAGACUCCUACGGGAGGUAGCAGUGGGGAAUAUUGGACAAUGGGCGCAAGCCUGAUCCAGCCGUGCCGCGUGAGUGAUGAAGGCCUUAGGGUUGUAAAGCUCUUUUAUCCGGGACGAUAAUGACGGUACCGGAGGAAUAAGCCCCGGCUAACUUCGUG